Molecule: non-coding RNA, 29 nt
Filed under: Homo sapiens (human)
Lineage: Eukaryota; Metazoa; Chordata; Mammalia; Primates; Hominidae
Source: RNAcentral
UGGUUAGUCUUAGGUAUCCAGAUGUGAUC